RNAcentral lists this ribosomal RNA (1372 nucleotides) under uncultured bacterium. RNAcentral's name for it is "partial 16S ribosomal RNA". It matches the Rfam family "Bacterial small subunit ribosomal RNA". The record is from RNAcentral.
AGAGUUUGAUCCUGGCUCAGGAUGAACUCUGGCGGCGUGCUUAACACAUUCAAGUCGAACGGACAACAGGGCUUCGGUUCUCUUGUUAGUGGCGGACGGGUAAGUAACGCGUGAAUAACCUGCCUGUGUGUGGGGGAUAACAUUUGGAAACGACUGCUAAUACCGCAUAACGUAAGAGGAUCGCAUGUUCUUCUUACCAAAGAUUGAUUGCGCACAGAUGGAUUCUCGUCCAAUUAUGAUAGUUGGCGGGAUAAGGGCCCACCAAGAUCGAUCAUUAGUAGCCGGAAUGAGAGGUAGAACGACCACAUUGGAAAUAAGAUACCCUCCAUACUCCUACAGGAGGCAGCAGUGAAUAAUAUUCAACAAUGGGAGACAUCAUCACCCAGCGACGCCGCAUGAGAGAAGAAGAUCUUCUGAUUGUAAUCUUUAGUCAACAGGGAAGAAACAAGUGACGGUACCUGUGGAAGAAGCCACGACUAACUACGCACCAGCAGCCGUGAUAAUAAGUAGGCGACGAUCGUUAUCAGGAUUUAGUGGGUAUAAAGGGUGAGUAGGAGAGACUAUUAGUCAGAUAUGUAAACUGCCGGCUCAAAUGACAGCCUUCAUUAGAAAAUUCCGUUGUUUAUUGUGGGAGAGGUAAGAAAUAUUCCCGGUGUAGCGAUGAAAUUAGUAGAUAUCAGGAGCAACACCAGUGAAGAAGGCGGCUUAGUGGAUCACAACUGACGAUGAGACAAGAAAGCGUGAGGAGCCAACAGGAUUCGAUACCAGGGUAGUCCGCGCAGUAAACGAUGAACGCUAGGUGUAGGGGUGCACAUCUGUGCGCCGCAGUUCACACAAUGUGUGUUCCACGUGGAGAGUGCGGCCGCGAGGUUGAAUCUCAAAGGAAUUGACGGGAGCCCGCACACGCAGUGGAGUAUGUGGUUUAUUUAGACGCAACGAGAAGCACCUUCGCAGGACUUCACAUCCCAAGAAGGGUAGAUAAUGAGAGCUGUGCCUUUCGGGGAAUUUGGAGCCAGGUGGUCCAUGGUGUUGUUCAGUUGGUGUGGUGAGAUGUUGGGUUAAUUCCCGCAAGGAGCGCACCCCUUACGUUCAGUUGUUACGCAAGAGCACUCUGGCGGGACUGCCGUUGACAAAACGGAGGAAGGUGGGGAUGACGUCAAAUCAUCAUGCCCCUUACGUUCCGGGCUACACACGUACUACAAUGGCGAAGACAAAGGGAAGGUAAGUCGCGAGGGGGAGCCAACCCCAUAAAAAUAGUCCCAGUUCGGAUUGCAGGCUGCAACCCGCCUGCACGAAGUUGGAAUUGCUAGUAAUCGCGGAUCAGCAUGCCGCGGUGAAUACGUUCCCGGGCUUUGCACUCACCGCCCGUCAA